CCUACGGGUGGCUGCAGUGAGGAAUAUUGGUCAAUGGGCGGGAGCCUGAACCAGCCAUGCCGCGUGAAGGCGAGUGCCCUACGGGCGUUAAACUUCUUUUGUGCGGGAGCAAUAAGGGCCACGCGUGGCCCGAUGAGAGUACCGCACGAAUAAGCAUCGGCUAACUCCGUGCCAGCAGCCGCGGUAAUAGGGGGGAUGCGAGCGUUAUCCGGAUUUACUGGGUGUAAAGGGCGUGUAGGCGGGCCUGUAAGUCAGAAGUGAAAUCUGGGGGGUUAACCCCCAAACUGCUUUUGAAACUGCGGGUCUUGAGUGAUGGAGAGGCAGGCGGAAUUCCCAGUGUAGCGGUGAAAUGCGUAGAUAUUGGGAGGAACACCAGUGGCGAAGCCGGCCUGCUGGACAUUAACUGACGCUGAGGCGCGAAAGCGUGGGGAGCAAACAGGAUUAGAUACCCCAGUAGUC
Molecule: ribosomal RNA, 459 nt
Filed under: uncultured bacterium
Lineage: Bacteria
Description: partial 16S ribosomal RNA
Rfam family: Bacterial small subunit ribosomal RNA
Source: RNAcentral